UUUGGCUUCUGGGAGAAACUAGAAGCUUCUCAUUUUCUCUCUCUCUGACACUUCCUGUUCAUAUCUAUUUUCUCUGGUUUUCAUCUUCAAAUCUCCAUGAUUUCAUGGUAUCAGAGCAGGAAAAUCUUCCGAUCCUUCUCUGUUAUGUGUUAUCGAUACUUGCUGAAGCUUUUUCUGAAGUUUUUCUUCGGUUAUCUGAGAAAAAAUACUGUUCGUAUAUUUUUCGAUGAAUGUUAAUCGGAUAAUCGGAACUUUUCUGACUGUUUGAGGCUCCGAUUAUGUAUCAAUAGAUGUUUUGGGUGUUGUUCCGGCAUCUCUGGUCUUAUUCCGACGAGUUCUUCAAACUCUAGGGUUUUCCGACUUUCGUACCUGGGGUUUUGAUGCUAUCCGAUGACUUUGCUUUCGGUCGACAGGCGUUUUGGGUAAGCUUCCGACGUCUGUGACCUUAUUUUGGUGAGUUUCCGUUUAACUGCAUGAUGCUAUCCGAUGACUUUGCUUUCGGUCGAUAGGCGUUUUGGGUAAGCUUCCGACGUCUGUGACCUUAUUUUGGUGAGUUUUCGUUUAACUGCAAUCUCCGGUGACCGGACUUAGUCUUAUCUGGUGGUUGAAGGCCGUUCUUCUCCGGUCGCGAAGAAGGAGGGUAACACUUUCUCUGUUCUACGUGUUGUAUAUGUUGCAUGCUAGUUCUUGUUUUAUUGUGGUCUGUUCAUUGAGACUAUUCCUGUGUUGUCAAAUCUGUUCAUUGUUCAUGGCUGUUAAUAUGAAUACUAAUACCUCCCCCGCAGACUCUACUAGUCCCUUCCUAAUUUACUCCUCCGAUGUUCCUGGUGUGUCUCUUGUGUCCACUCCCUUUUCAGGCAGUGGUUAUGGAGGUUGGAGGAGGAAAAUGAUUGUUGCCCUAUCUGCUAAAAACAAAAUCGGAUUUGUUGAUGGCUCAUGUCCUCGACCAACCACUAAUGUGGCUGAACAGAGGCUGGUUGGAGGAGGAAAAUGAUUGUUGCCCUGUCUACUAAAAACAAAAUCGGAUUUUUUGAUGGCUCAUGUCCUCGACCAACCACUAAUGUGGCUGAACAGAGGCUGUGGGAUAGAUAUAAUAACAUGGUCAUUUCCUGGUUGACUGCUUCCCUAUCUCCUCAGAUUGCUGAUAGUGUGCAGUAUUCUGAUACUGAUAGAUAUAAUAACAUGGUCAUUUCCUGGUUGACUGCUUCCCUAUCUCCUCAGAUUGCUGAUAGUGUGCAGUAUUCCGAUACUGCAGAGAGUAUAUGGUCCCAAAUUGAGAAAAGAUAUGGUACUCCUUACAAGACCAAAAUUUUUGAAUUAAAAAGGGAACUUUCCCACACAUCUCUAGGUUGUUUAGAUGUAGCCUCAUAUUUUAACAAACUCAAAGGCCUGUAGGAUGAGUUGGGCACAAUGUGCACAAAUCAUGGGCAGAGAUGUGUGUGUGCCGCUAAAAAUGGAAUAAUUCAGGAAGAUGACGAAAACAAGGUAUUCCAGUUUCUUAUGGGGUUAAAUGAAGCAUACAUGGGGGUUAGGAGUAACUUGUUGAUGAUGCAGCCAUUUCCUUCCCUUGACAGUGUUUACAAUAUAGUGCUUAAUGAUGACAAACAGAGACAAGUUCAAUCUAUUUUCCAAAUCAGUCCAAACUCUAUGUCUUUUAAUGCUAAUACAAAUAAGCACUCAGUUGGGUUUAAUCAGGCCACAGUGCCCAGUACCCCUGUUUUCAGACCCAGAGUUAAUUUUGAGCAAAGUAGAGGGCCCUUAUUUUACAGAUACUGCAAGAAAUCUGGGCACUUAAUUGAUAAGUGCUAUAAGAUUCAUGGGUUUCCUCAAAAUAUCAAAUACAACAAGGGAAGGAAAUUUGCUGCUUCUCAUGUCUCCAGUGGUGAGGAAAGUGUGUCUGUUAAUCAUGGAAAUCAUAAUAUGUCUGUUCCUCUUGGGGAUCCUCCUGCCAGCCAUCACCAUGUUACAAACAUAGAUGGUCAAAGUUCUGUGGUACCAGGGUUGAGCAAACAACAAUAUGAUCAAUUGAUGAGCUUGUUGCAACAGACCCAGUUAGGGGAUUCCAGUGCUCAGGCUCCUUCUCCCAUGUAAGGUUGAGUAGACAAAAAUAUUAUCAAUUGAUGAGCUUGUUGCAACACACCCAAUUAGGGGAUUCCAGUGCUCAGGCUCCUCCUCCCAUGUAUGCUGCUAAUUUUGCUAGUACUAUGUUGACUGAGAGUCUUGUUUCUGAUUCCAAGUUAUGCAUACUUACACACAUUAAUUCUAUCACCUGGAUCAUAGAUUAAGGGGCAUCUAAUCAUAUGACACAUGAUAAAAACUUACUAUUUAACAUCAUACCUUUGACUAUUCCUUAUCUUGUAACUUUGCCUAAUGGUUACAAAGUGAAAGUAACUUGUACAGGUUCUUUUGCAUUAACUUCAUUCAUUACUCUUCACAAUGUACUGNNN
RNAcentral lists this long non-coding RNA (2447 nucleotides) under Nicotiana benthamiana. RNAcentral's name for it is "long non-coding RNA (NBEN_LNC010140)". The record is from RNAcentral. Lineage: Eukaryota; Viridiplantae; Streptophyta; Magnoliopsida; Solanales; Solanaceae.